UCCGGGUUGACCCCGGCAGUCUCCCAUGAGUCCCCACCAUCACGUGCUGGCAACAUGGAACAAGGGUUGCGCUCGUUGCGGGACUUAACCCAACAUCUUACGACACGAGCUGACGACAGCCAUGCACCACCUGCACACAGGCCACAAGGGAACCGACAUCUCUGCCGGCGUCCUGUGCAUGUCAAACCCAGGUAAGGUUCUUCGCGUUGCGUCGAAUUAAACCACAUGCUCCGCUGCUUGUGCGGGCCCCCGUCAAUUCCUUUGAGUUUUAGCCUUGCGGCCGUACUCCCCAGGCGGGGCGCUUAAUGCGUUAGCUGCGGCACGGAGAACGUGGAAAGUCCCCCACACCUAGCGCCCAACGUUUACGGCGUGGACUAC
Molecule: unclassified non-coding RNA, 378 nt
Filed under: uncultured Actinomycetes bacterium
Lineage: Bacteria; Bacillati; Actinomycetota; Actinomycetes
Description: uncultured actinobacterium contains 16S-23S intergenic spacer region
Source: RNAcentral